GGAGACACUGUGUCUGUUUCCAGCUUUGUCCCAUAUGUGAAACCCUUGCACCUUUUGCUCAGAUUGCCCUUUCUGUAGGAAUAUGAGUAGUCCUUGGAGAAUUGUUUCUUAGCAGUGAUUCCAAAUACCAGAAAUUUCAUCUGUUAAUACUUGAAUGCAGACUUAGGGUGAGAGGUUUUCAGAAUCUUCUCCACUUCCCUUUCCAUCUCUUCCUUUUUCCUCUGGGUUGGUUCAUUGUUAAGAAGGAACUUAAGCUUUUAGUUUAGCAACUUCAGCUGAAAGAGAACUUUCCUGCUUGAAGAAAUGUUGGGUGAGCGAAGCUGGCAGUGUAGCUCAGUGGUAGGGUGUUUGAGCAGUAUGCAUGAGGCUAUGGGACCCUCAGCCAAGAGGGUGGAAGAGAUGUCCAGUGGCCUGUCUACUGUAGGAACUUUAGAAAGUCAAUGAUCAGUGCCAUCUAAACCAUGAGGAAGGAGGAUGAGAAAGAUCUAGCCUAAUAGAAGAAAAUUGAGUGAGAUGUGGUACCCCCAGAAAGGGAGAGAGGGAUACAAGCUUCAGAGUCAAAUGAGCAGUAAUGGAUUACAGGUCCCUUAUUCACAUGCAACUCAGGCUGAUUUAAAAAAAAAAUCUAGGUUAUUAUAUAGGCAUAUUUACUCCUGUUCUUUAAAAUAAUCACACCAUGAACAAGACAUUUUCUUUAAAAAUACGACCUUAGGAGUCUGUAAAUUUAUAUUAAAUAUGUGGCAUAAUUUAUAUAUCUGUUUGAUCAGAAUUCAAUUUUGAAAUAAAGGAUGUUUAUUGGAGAAGAGGAGAAGAUACAGGAAAAUGUAAUCGGGUCAGUGAGACAGUGGUGAUAAUUGGCGUUGUGUGUUUGUAGGGUGUCACUCACGUGACCCUGGAAUUAUUCCUCCAUUCUCCACUCCAGUGGCUCCACCUAGUCCCCGUUUCUGAAGAGAAACAUAUUUGAGAAGUGGGAAUUCUGUUUGGGUCUGAGUGCGUUAGAGAUGAGAAUCUGUGGCUCUGCAGAGGUCAGGGUGGGAGAUGAAGGUGAUGGCUACAGAUGACUCCACCAUUUCAGUUGUCCAGUUCAGUCUGCUGAGUUCUGGGGAGAAUGGUAGUGCGUGUGAAGUAAUACAAAGGGCAGAUUGUUAUUCACAGAUUUAUAGUAGCUUAAAAUACAGUCCCACUUGAGCAUGUCACUGAUGAAGUUGUUACUAAUUUUUAAAUGAAGCCACUUCAAUAUUAAUGAAAAUGCUUUUUCACUGAAAAAAAUUGUAGCGAAGACUUAGCUGGAAAUUUAGAGAAAGCACGUUGGUGCUUUGACUAGCUGUCUUGAGGCAUUUGAGCUGUUCAGUGUUGAACAUGGGUCUAGCUGAAUAGUUUUCUCUGUUUCAUGUAGUGUGUUGAGCAUGACCAUUUCACAGCAAAAGCCAGAUACAUGAAAUUCCAAAUAACUCAGUUAUCUGUACUGACAAGACAGUAAAAAUUUAAACCUCAAGAAUUAAAUGGAUGACCCCGUGAUUUAGGGGUAUAUUUGGAAAGGAACUAAUUAUUUAUACAAUGUAUACAGUGGUGCACACUUACCAAAAAUCUUAAAAAUGGGAACACUGGGUGCUAGGAACACUUGCUGUUCUUCCAGAGAACCUGAGUUCAUUCCCAGCACCAAUGCCCAGCGAUUCACACUGCCUGUAACUCUACCUCCCAGGUGUCUGACGUUCUUUUCUGACCUCCAUGGGGACUUGUACAUAUGUGACAUACAUAUAGACGAACAUACCUAUAUAUAAAUGAAAACAAGUGUACACAGGGCUUGGUACAUAUGUGACAUACAUAUAUAUAGACUAACAUACCUAUAUAUAAAUGGAAACAAGUGUACACAGGGCUUGAUGGCACACUUUCAAUUUCAACACAAAGGUAAAAUACAAUACUACAGCAGAGGCAGGUAGAUCUCAGAGGCAGUCAGAUCUGUGUGAGUUUCAGGCCAGUGUGCUCUACAUAGUGAUUUCCAGGUCAGCCAUGCUACACAGUGGCACCUUGCCUAAAAAGAAUC
RNAcentral lists this long non-coding RNA (2044 nucleotides) under Mus musculus (house mouse). Its description in RNAcentral is "long non-coding RNA chr17:63873393-63875437". The record is from RNAcentral. Lineage: Eukaryota; Metazoa; Chordata; Mammalia; Rodentia; Muridae.